GAUUCAGUAGCUCAGCAGGUAGAGCAACGGCCUUUUAAGCCGUGGGUCCUGGGUUCGAAUCCCAGCUGGAUCA
RNAcentral lists this transfer RNA (73 nucleotides) under Bacteroidota bacterium. RNAcentral's name for it is "tRNA-Lys". It matches the Rfam family "tRNA". Rfam says of the family: Transfer RNA (tRNA) molecules are approximately 80 nucleotides in length. Their secondary structure includes four short double-helical elements and three loops (D, anti-codon, and T loops). RNAcentral also lists the same sequence under 2 other names. Lineage: Bacteria; Pseudomonadati; Bacteroidota. The record is from RNAcentral.